RNAcentral lists this transfer RNA (74 nucleotides) under Pseudomonadota bacterium. Its description in RNAcentral is "tRNA-Gly". It matches the Rfam family "tRNA". Rfam says of the family: Transfer RNA (tRNA) molecules are approximately 80 nucleotides in length. Their secondary structure includes four short double-helical elements and three loops (D, anti-codon, and T loops). RNAcentral also lists the same sequence under 1 other name. The record is from RNAcentral. Lineage: Bacteria; Pseudomonadati; Pseudomonadota.
GCGGGUGUAGUUCAGUGGUAGAACACUAGCCUUCCAAGCUGGUUGCGUGGGUUCGAUUCCCAUCACCCGCUCCA